This is a long non-coding RNA of Sardina pilchardus (European sardine), 525 nucleotides long. RefSeq lists it as uncharacterized. The record is from RefSeq and is a predicted model, not a curated record. Lineage: Eukaryota; Metazoa; Chordata; Actinopteri; Clupeiformes; Clupeidae. The transcript has 3 exons.
AGAUGGAUGAUUUUGUUCAGACAAAAUUGCUCGACUGGGGGCUUGGUGACCUGCUUCCUACUUUUGAAGCUGAGAAGAUCGAUGAAGAAUCAUUUCUGCUUUUGGACGGCGGCUGUCUACAGUCAUUGAUUCCAGUCAUUGGACCACGGCUCAAAUUUCAAAAGUACUUCAAUACGUUGCUUAAGUGCUUGACGGCCACUGGGAGGAGGCUGCUGCCAUUCCACCUGGUCCAAGUUUGACCCUGCCGGUGCCUGACGACCACCGGAGGGAAGGAGAACACCAACACAGGCUCCGCCCAAGGCCCCUGACUGCAGUUGCCAUUCCCCCACCUGACUCCCUGCCGGUGCUUGACGACCACCGGGGGGAGGGAACUCCUUUGGCAAUGCCCUCGCCAGAGGCCACGUGAUGCUGCAGGCCUGCUUCCCCCAUCUGACUCCCUGCCGGUGCUUGACGACCACCGGGGGGAAGUAAGACCUCUGUAACGGCCCCACUGCAGCCAAGAACCUGUUGACGACCUCAUGAGGC